RNAcentral lists this ribosomal RNA (467 nucleotides) under uncultured bacterium. RNAcentral describes it as "partial 16S ribosomal RNA". It matches the Rfam family "Bacterial small subunit ribosomal RNA", at positions 28 to 506 of the family's 1533-position model. The record is from RNAcentral.
GACGAACGCUGGCGGCGUGCUUAACACAUGCAAGUCGAACGGAAAGGCCCUGCUUUUGUGGGGUGCUCGAGUGGCGAACGGGUGAGUAACACGUGAGUAACCUGCCCUUGACUUUGGGAUAACUUCAGGAAACUGGGGCUAAUACCGGAUAGGAGCUCCUGCUGCAUGGUGGGGGUUGGAAAGUUUCGGCGGUUGGGGAUGGACUCGCGGCUUAUCAGCUUGUUGGUGGGGUAGUGGCUUACCAAGGCUUUGACGGGUAGCCGGCCUGAGAGGGUGACCGGCCACAUUGGGACGGAGAUACGGCCCAGACUCCUACGGGAGGCAGGAGUGGGGAAUAUUGAACAAGGGGCGGAAGCCUGAUGCAGCAACGCCGCGUGCGGGAUGACGGCCUUCGGGUGGUAAACCGCUUUCGCCUGUGACGAAGGGUAAGUAACGGUAAGGGGUAAGGAAGCACCGGCUAACUACGU